UACGGAGGGUGCAAGCGUUGUUCGGAAUUACUGGGCGUAAAGCGCGUGUAGGUGGUUCGGUAAGUCGAAUGUGAAAGCCCCGGGCUCAACCCGGGAAGUGCAUCCGAAACUGCCGAACUAGAGUCCCGGAGAGGAAGGCAGAAUUCCCAAUGUAGGGGUGAAAUCCGUAGAGAUUGGGUGGAAUACCGGUGGCGAAGGCGGCCUUCUGGACGGUGACUGACACUCAGACGCGAAAGAGUGGGGAGCAAACAGG
This 253-nucleotide ribosomal RNA is filed under the name uncultured bacterium. RNAcentral's name for it is "partial 16S ribosomal RNA". It matches the Rfam family "Bacterial small subunit ribosomal RNA", at positions 524 to 776 of the family's 1533-position model. The record is from RNAcentral.